GGCUCAGGAUAAACGCUGGCGGCGUGCUUAACACAUGCAAGUCGAACGGAGUGGUUCUCCCGAAGACCCUGAAGAGCUUGCUCAGAUGGAAUUCAUUUGAAUCACGUUAGUGGCGGACGGGUGAGUAACGCGUGGGUAACCUGCCUCACACUGGGGGAUAGCAGUUGGAAACGACUGAUAAUACCGCAUAAGCGCACAGUAUCGCAUGAUAAAGUGUGAAAAACUCCGGGUGGUGUGAGAUGGACCCGCGUCUGAUUAGCUAGUUGGUGAGGUAACGGCCCACCAAGGCAACGAUCAGUAGCCGGCCUGAGAGGGUGUACGGCCACAUUGGGACUGAGACACGGCCCAAACUCCUACGGGAGGCAGCAGUGGGGAAUAUUGGACAAUGGGGGAAACCCUGAUCCAAGCGACGCCGCGUGAACGAAGAAGUAUCUCGGUAUGUAAAGUUCUAUCAGCAGGGAAGAUAAUGACGGUACCUGACUAAGAAGCACCGGCUAAAUACGUGCCAGCCGCCGC
Molecule: ribosomal RNA, 516 nt
Filed under: uncultured bacterium
Lineage: Bacteria
Description: bacterial SSU rRNA
Rfam family: Bacterial small subunit ribosomal RNA
Source: RNAcentral